Drosophila willistoni is the source of this 1642-nucleotide RNA transcript. It is a transcript of the gene named E3 SUMO-protein ligase ZBED1-like, with no coding region annotated. The record is from RefSeq and is a predicted model, not a curated record. Lineage: Eukaryota; Metazoa; Arthropoda; Insecta; Diptera; Drosophilidae. The transcript is spliced from 6 exons.
UGAGUGCAGCGAGCGCGGAUGUAAAAAUGAUGAAAUCGAAUUACUUGCAUCUUAAAAAUGGAACAGCAAAAUGUAAACUAUGUCAAAAAAUUAUUAAAACAAGUGGAAAUUCAACAAAUAUGUCGUCGCACAUAAAAAACAAGCACUAUGACACUUUUGUAAAGUGUAUGCAAAAAAAGGUUUCGAUGAAGUUUCGUGAAAACCAAACAAUUGAACAAUCAUUUCGAAACAUUGAAGCUUUAAAAGACAAUGGACAGAAGGCGAAUGAAAUAUAUGAAGCAAUUGUCUUCAUGAUUUGCAGAGACAACAUGCCUGUCCGGUGCGUGGAGAAAGAAGGUCUAACACACCUUCUUAAGAAAUGUGUCCCGCAAUUUAAAAUGCCUGGCCGGUCCAAGAUUACAACAAUGAUCGAAGAAAAAUACAGCAAAUCAGUGGAUGCUGUUAAAAAGAUUUUAAGCGAAGUGGAGGAUGUCGCAUUCACCUGCGACGCAGUGACUAUCACAAACUCAAGCCGAUCAUUUCUUACAAUAACUGCGCAUUUUAUAAAUAAGGAAUGUUUGGAAUCAAUUUGUUUAAUGGCAGCUAGAAUGGAUCAGUGUUCUGUGAAUUUUGGCCAUUUGUCACUUUGUUGUUAUUUUUACCACCUAAUAUAAGAAAACCAUACAUUUCUCAAAUUUAAUUUAGUCUCAUACCAGUGAGUACAUAAGCUCUCUAUUGGAGAAAGCGUGCGACGAUUUUAGCAUUGAUAAGUCUAAGUGUACAACACUGACCACGGAUAAUGCGAAUAAUAUGAAAGCCGCAUCAAGAUAUUUUAUUGGAAAUGGGAAACACAUUCCUUGCUUUGCGCAUACCAUCCACUUAGUGGUAGACGAUUCUGUGAAGGAGAUCGCAUCAUUUUGUAGUAUUUUGGACAAAGUUAAAAAAAUUGUUAUGCAUUUCAAGCACAGUCCUGCAUUAAUGGACGAGCUGCGAAAAGCUCAGGCUGAUGAGGGAAUUCCGGAAGCAAGCCUGUGCAAGCCUCUUGAAUUAAAUAAAGUCUUAGUAAAGUCUUCAUUCCUCGAUCCAAGAUUUAAAAAGAUGUAUAUCUCGCCAAUCGGGGUACAAGAGGCGACUAAAGAUAUUUUACAAGAAUUGAUUACAUUUACUGAAGAAAAACUGAUUUCAGAUGACGAAAAUUCAGAUGACCAAUAGUGAUAGCUUGGAAAAGGCGCACAAUAGGUCAAUUGUGAAAGUAGACGGUUCGGAAAAUAGGGAGCUAAAGAUGUAUCUCAGCUUGCCCCAAACUUCGUGGGAAAGUAACCCAAUAAUGUUUUGGAGUUCGUAUAAGGCAGCUAUGCCAGGACUUUCGAAGCUUGCCUUACGAUACCUUACAACCCCUGGUAGUUCAGUGCCUUCGAAGCGACUUGCUUCUGCAAUUAAAUGUGUUGUCUGUGACUCGCGAAGUCGUAUGACGGAUACACAUAUAACAGAACGGGUUUUUUUGAAAUCUUUAAACUCCAAAUACUGGAGUUAAACAUGCCUUUGAAUAUGCAAAAUGACAAAUUCCGUAUUAAGAAAAUCCGUAUUAAGAAAAUGCGUGUGAAGAAAAUCUGUAUUAAGAAAAUGCGUGUAAAGAAAAUCCGUAUUAAGAAAAUAAAUUGUU